AGUGUUUGCUCACACUGGACCAUGUAUAAUCUUCUGGAAUGAAGCGUCAUAAAGGGUGAGAAUCCCGUCUUUGACAUGGACUCCCAGUGUAAUUGUAGCAUGCUCUCAAAGAGUCGAGUUGUUUGGGAAUGCAGCUCUAAAUGGGUGGUAACCUCCAUCUAAAGCUAAAUAUUGGCGAGAGACCGAUAGUGAACAACUACCGUGAGGGAAAGAUGAAAAGAACUUUGGAAAGAGAGUUAAACAGUACGUGAAAUUGUUGAAAGGGAAACGCUUGAAGUCAGUCACAUUAGCCAGGGAUCAACUUUCUUAAGUGUACUUCCUGGCUGAUGGGCCAAUAUCAGCUUUGACUGUCAGAGAAAGGUAGAGGGAAUGUGGCACCCUUCUUGGGUGUGUUAUAGACCUCUGUUAUAUAUGGCAGUUGGGGCUGAGGAAUGCAGCGCGCCGCAAGGCCGGGGCUUUGACCACGUCCGCGCUUAGGAUGUUGGCAUAAUGGCUUUAAUCGACCCCGUCUUGAAACACGGACCAAGGAGUCUAACAUGCCUGCGAGUAUUUGGGUGGAAAAACCCGAGUGCAUAAUGAAAAG
RNAcentral lists this ribosomal RNA (583 nucleotides) under Amanita hemibapha. RNAcentral's name for it is "partial large subunit ribosomal RNA". It matches the Rfam family "Eukaryotic large subunit ribosomal RNA", at positions 157 to 726 of the family's 3401-position model. The record is from RNAcentral. Lineage: Eukaryota; Fungi; Basidiomycota; Agaricomycetes; Agaricales; Amanitaceae.